This 82-nucleotide transfer RNA is filed under the name Morchella conica CCBAS932. It matches the Rfam family "tRNA". Rfam says of the family: Transfer RNA (tRNA) molecules are approximately 80 nucleotides in length. Their secondary structure includes four short double-helical elements and three loops (D, anti-codon, and T loops). Further hydrogen bonds mediate the characteristic L-shaped molecular structure. tRNAs have two regions of fundamental functional importance: the anti-codon, which is responsible for specific mRNA codon recognition, and the 3' end, to which the tRNAs corresponding amino acid is attached (by aminoacyl-tRNA synthetases). tRNAs cope with the degeneracy of the genetic code in two manners: having more than one tRNA (with a specific anti-codon) for a particular amino acid; and 'wobble' base-pairing, i.e. permitting non-standard base-pairing at the 3rd anti-codon position. Lineage: Eukaryota; Fungi; Ascomycota; Pezizomycetes; Pezizales; Morchellaceae. RNAcentral also lists the same sequence under 1 other name. The record is from Rfam by way of RNAcentral.
UCUUUGGUAGUAUAGUGGUUAGUAUACUCGCUUGUCAUUAAACCGUCCGCGAGUGACCGGGGUUCAAUUCCCCGCCAGAGAG